Oncorhynchus mykiss (rainbow trout) is the source of this 1052-nucleotide long non-coding RNA. RefSeq lists it as uncharacterized. Lineage: Eukaryota; Metazoa; Chordata; Actinopteri; Salmoniformes; Salmonidae. The record is from RefSeq and is a predicted model, not a curated record.
UCAUACUUAGGCAGCCUGUUUUCCACCCUAGUUUGUGGGAUCUUGUUUUUGCACAGUUAUUAGGUAGCCUGCAGUACGUUACGUUUGUGUAUUCAUUUGUUGUUUUGUUGGUGUUCGUCUUAAUACAGAAAGAUGUACGCUUACCACGCAGCGCCUUGGUCUCCUUCUAACGACGUGCUGUAAGAGUCCUGGAGGACAGGUAGUUUGGGCAGACCGCAUCACAUUGGGCAGACCGUAUCACCCUCUGGAUAGCCCUGCGGUUACGGGCGGUGCCUUUGCCGUACCAGGCGGGGAUACAGCCCGAAGAUGGUGUCUAUGAGAAGCUUUCACUGAGUUGCUUGAGUAAUUAAGAUUGUAAAUAAAACAUAUAUUUCUGACCUGAUCAUUCCAGUGCUCCACUCCCUGAUGUAAAGAACCUAUGUAUUUAGAUUAGUCCCGAAGACCUCACAUGUACAAAAUAUGGUAUAGUAUGGCAAUAGGAAUAGAUAUUUUACGUGUAUAUCCCCCACGUUACAUUUAUAUCAGGUCAUGCCUGGGAUGAGGCGGUGAAAAUGCUUUCUGUACAUCCCCCUGAUCUUCAACAGACGCGGUCAGAUAUCUAGUCUAGAUAGUGGUGGUGUUUCAUGUCCAGCACAUAGUAGGUCAAUGUAUUUAGAUUAUGUGUUGGAAGUUGGAACAUAUGGGAGAAGUCUAGAGAUCACUAGGAUAGCUUAUGUUCCCAUUGGUGUAAAUGUAUGGCCCUAGCCUACACGAUGCCAUGAAAGCUGAACAUGAUGUUUAAUGGGAAAAAAAUCAGUUUAAAGAAUUGCAUUGUGUUUUGCCUUUUAUUCUAGCCUACUACUGUGCACUAAAUAUUUCAAAUGUUUUAGAAAGGUAACAUAGCCCCUGUGUGUGUGUGGUGAUGUACAAUAUACAGCAUAUAGGCUAUAAACAGUUAGUGAGCACAUUCUAUGUACCUAGGUGUUGUUUCCAGUUACAUACUCAAGGUAAACAGAAAUCCAACAACAGUGUGUGUUAUACAUUUGUAAUGGUAUCAAAACAAUUGUAAUCCA